Anas platyrhynchos (mallard) is the source of this 1047-nucleotide non-coding RNA. Lineage: Eukaryota; Metazoa; Chordata; Aves; Anseriformes; Anatidae. The record is from RefSeq and is a predicted model, not a curated record.
AAGGCUGUUCUUUUUUUUUUGAGUUCCUUAUCUGAAAAGGUUUGCCAUGUCUUCAUGCAAGUAGUUGUCAUGCUUUAGAAAAAUCACAAGCAGCAAAAAGUCAGAAUUGUCAGUUCAGAAGACACUGCUUGUUCCACUGGGUAAAACUGAGAAAGCAGUGCUGGCAAACGAUCUUUAGGAAAAAAAAAAAAAAAAAGGAAAAAAAAAAACACACGAUGGAAACAGCAGCAGAAUGAAGAUAAAAAGGCUUGCAGGCUUUAUUCUCAUUGAAGGUUGGCAACGGGAAAUCUGUUGGAGUAGAAGAAGAAUAUCUGAUAGGUCAUCUGUUGUGUAAUGAAGAAUAGAAGACAGAAGACAAGCUAGGAGAAGCAAGGUGAUUCCAAACCUCGGAGGAAUGUAAGAUCUUAUGAGAGAAACAUGAAAGCAAUACCUUUAUAAACUGACCAAAUUUAAUUUACUAUCAACGAGCUUUGUAAGACUGCAAGCUGACAAAAUCCAUUUAUAAUGUUAUAGGGUUUUGCACCAACAAAAUCCCCAAUUUAUUGAGCUCAAGUUCUCUAAUCUGGUGGCAGAGUCCAGAAGGAGCAACGUGCUUCAGAAACUGCAGUGGCCAUGACUCAGCUGGGUGCAGCACGAGCAGCGGCAACAUGUGGAUGUUGGCACGGAGGAGGCAGAUCUUGCACUGUGCAUCUCUGGCAAAGCCCAUUCCCCAGCCUAAUAACCGUGCCGAAGUGAGGAAGUCAGCCCUGCUUGCUCCCGACUGCAGCGCUUUGCUGGCUGCCUCCCCACUCGCAAUGUAAAUCCUCCACCUUUUGAACCGCGUGCACUUACCCCCGUAAUCGUUAACACGUACCUUUUUAUUUGUUCCCUUUGCAUGCCAUUAAGCCUGUGUGACACUGCACAUCUGCGCCUCAGCAUGCCUUUUCUGCAGACCAGUGAGUCAUUAGCAGAGAUAAGAUGAGUCCCAGAUGUUAAAGAAACAUGGUAGCACUCCAUGGAUUACAACUGGGACAAAUAAAAGCCAAAGUUUUAAUGUUUAUUGGGCAC